RNAcentral lists this ribosomal RNA (429 nucleotides) under Bacteroidota bacterium. Its description in RNAcentral is "Bacteroidetes bacterium partial 16S ribosomal RNA". It matches the Rfam family "Bacterial small subunit ribosomal RNA", at positions 355 to 776 of the family's 1533-position model. Lineage: Bacteria; Pseudomonadati; Bacteroidota. The record is from RNAcentral.
UAGGGAAUCUUCGGCAAUGGGGGGAACCCUGACCGAGCAACGCCGCGUGAGUGAAGAAGGUUUUCGGAUCGUAAAGCUCUGUUGUUAAGGAAGAACGAGUGUGAGAAUGGAAAGUUCAUGCUGUGACGGUACUUAACCAGAAAGGGACGGCUAACUACGUGCCAGCAGCCGCGGUAAUACGUAGGUCCCGAGCGUUGUCCGGAUUUAUUGGGCGUAAAGCGAGCGCAGGCGGUUAGAUAAGUCUGAAGUUAAAGGCAGUGGCUCAACCAUUGUAGGUUUUGGAAACUGUUUAACUUGAGUGCAGAAGGGGAGAGUGGAAUUCCAUGUGUAGCGGUGAAAUGCGUAGAUAUAUGGAGGAACACCGGUGGCGAAAGCGGCUCUCUGGUCUGUAACUGACGCUGAGGCUCGAAAGCGUGGGGAGCGAACAGG